CCUACGGGGGGCAGCAGUGAGGAAUAUUGGACAAUGGACGAGAGUCUGAACCAGCCAAGCAGCGUGAAGGAUGACUGCCCUAUGGGCUGUAAACUUCUUUUAUAUGGGAAUAAAUUGUUCCACGUGUGGGAUUUUGUAUGUACCAUAUGAAUAAGGAUCGGCUAACUCCGCGCCAGCAGCCGCGGUAAUACGGAGGAUCCGAGCGUUAUCCGGAUUUAUUGGGUUUAAAGGGAGCGUAGAUGGGUAGUUAAGUCAGUUGUGAAAGUUUGCGGCUCAACCGUAAAAUUGCAAUUGAUACUGGCAGUCUUGAGUACAGUUGAGGUAAGCGGAAGUCGUGGUGUAGCGGUGAAAUGCUUAGAUAUCACGAAGAACCCCGAUUGCGAAGGCAGCUUACUAAACUGUGACUGACAUUGAGGCUCGAAAGUGUGGGGAUCAAACAGGAUUAGAUACCCCUGUAGUC
This 460-nucleotide ribosomal RNA is filed under the name uncultured bacterium. RNAcentral describes it as "partial 16S ribosomal RNA". It matches the Rfam family "Bacterial small subunit ribosomal RNA", at positions 338 to 795 of the family's 1533-position model. The record is from RNAcentral.